This is a microRNA precursor of Nomascus leucogenys (northern white-cheeked gibbon), 84 nucleotides long. It matches the Rfam family "mir-548 microRNA precursor family". Lineage: Eukaryota; Metazoa; Chordata; Mammalia; Primates; Hylobatidae. The record is from Rfam.
GAAUAUGUUGGUGCAAAAGUAAUCGUGGUCUUUGCCAUUGAAAGUAAUGGCAAAGACCACGAUUACUUUUGCACCAACAUAUUC